Molecule: ribosomal RNA, 1041 nt
Filed under: uncultured bacterium
Lineage: Bacteria
Description: bacterial SSU rRNA
Rfam family: Bacterial small subunit ribosomal RNA
Source: RNAcentral
CCUACGGGAGGCAGCAGUCGGGAAUCUUGCACAAUGGGCGAAAGCCUGAUGCAGCAACACCGUGUGAACGAUGAAGGCCUUAGGGUUGUAAAGUUCUGUUGUUGGGGACGAAGGGUGAAGGGUUAAUAGCCCGGAACCUGACGGUACCCUUCGAGGAAGCCCCGGCUAACUACGUGCCAGCAGCCGCGGUAAUACGUAGGGGGCGAGCGUUGUCCGGAAUUAUUGGGCGUAAAGAGCGUGUAGGCGGUUCGGUAAGUCUGCUGUGAAAUCCUGGGGCUCAACCCUGGGCGUGCAGCGGAUACUGCCGGGCUAGAGGGUGGUAGAGGCGAGUGGAAUUCCCGGUGUAGCGGUGAAAUGCGCAGAUAUCGGGAGGAACACCAGUAGCGAAGGCGGCUCGCUGGGCCACCUGACGCUGAGACGCGAAAGCGUGGGGAGCAAACAGGAUUAGAUACCCUGGUAGUCCACGCCGUAAACGAUGAACACUAGGUGUGGGCGGAGUCGAAUCUGUCUGUGCCGAAGCCAACGCGAUAAGUGUUCCGCCUGGGGAGUACGGCCGCAAGGCUAAAACUCAAAAGAAUUGACGGGGGCCCGCACAAGCAGCGGAGCAUGUUCUUUAAUUUGAUGCAACGCGAAGAACCUUACCUGGACUUGACAUGGUGCUGCAAGCGCACGGAAACGUGUGACCUUCGAGGGUGCACCACAGAUGCUGCAUGGCUGUCGUCAGCUCGUGUCGUGAGAUGUUGGGUUAAGUCCCGCAACGAGCGCAACCCCCGUGGCGUGUUGCCAGCAUUAAGUUGGGGACUCACGCCAGACUGCCGGUGACAAACCGGAGGAUGUGGGGACGACGUCAAGUCAUCAUGGCUCUUACGUCCAGGCUAGAAACGUGCUACAAUGGCAUGUACAAAGGGUUGCAAAGGCCGCGGAGGUGGAGCGAAUCCCAUCAAAGCAUGUCUAAGUUCGGAUCGCAGUCUGCAACUCGACUGCGUGAAGGCGGAGUUGCUAGUAAUCGCGAUCAGCAUGCCGCGGUGAUACGUUUCCCGG